Molecule: small nucleolar RNA, 130 nt
Organism: Rattus norvegicus (Norway rat)
Lineage: Eukaryota; Metazoa; Chordata; Mammalia; Rodentia; Muridae
Gene: Snora31
Product: small nucleolar RNA, H/ACA box 31
Source: Ensembl
CUGCAUCCACUGAUAGACCUCGAACAGUUUAUGGUUGUUCUUCUGGUUUGCACUAGGAUGCAAAAGGAAACUCUCCCUUCGCUUCCUGCCUGCCUUUGUGGCAGUCCAGAUUGAAUUGGGGAGUACAUCU